Molecule: ribosomal RNA, 490 nt
Filed under: uncultured bacterium
Lineage: Bacteria
Description: partial 16S ribosomal RNA
Rfam family: Bacterial small subunit ribosomal RNA
Source: RNAcentral
AAUGAACGCUGGCGGCAUGCCUUACACAUGCAAGUCGAACGGCAGCAUGACCUAGCUUGCUAGGUUGAUGGCGAGUGGCGAACGGGUGAGUAAUGCAUCGGAACGUGCCUUUUAGUGGGGGAUAACGUAGCGAAAGUUACGCUAAUACCGCAUAUUCUCUGAGGAGGAAAGCAGGGGACCUUCGGGCCUUGCGCUAGAAGAGCGGCCGAUGUCGGAUUAGCUAGUUGGUGAGGUAAAGACUCACCAAGGCAACGAUCCGUAGCGGGUCUGAGAGGAUGAUCCGCCACACUGGGACUGAGACACGGCCCAGACUCCUACGGGAGGCAGCAGUGGGGAAUUUUGGACAAUGGGCGCAAGCCUGAUCCAGCCAUGCCGCGUGAGUGAAGAAGGCCUUCGGGUUGUAAAGCUCUUUCGGCUGGGAAGAAAUCGCACCCUCUAAUACAGGGUGUGGAUGACGGUACCAGCAUAAGAAGCACCGGCUAACUACGUG